Molecule: long non-coding RNA, 860 nt
Organism: Pezoporus flaviventris
Lineage: Eukaryota; Metazoa; Chordata; Aves; Psittaciformes; Psittacidae
Exons: 2
Source: RefSeq, a predicted model, not a curated record
CUUUUGAGAGGCUGUGAGUCUGGAUCCAUGGCCUGAGGGCAGCACAGGGCUGAGCUCUCUGCUGUGUAAUGAGGUAUGUCAGGUCUCUGCAGCUUCCCUUUGGGGUUUCCCUGCCCAAGCCCCCAUGCUGCAAACCUGUGACCCUCCAUGCUGCCAAAUGGGGUGUCAGGGGGUUUGGGACUGUGGUGCUGGGCAUGGUUUGCAGGAGGACUCAGUGAUACUGAUGCUGGUUGUUUAUCCCUCAAGUCCAGAAACUCACUGGAAAGGAAAGGGAGGGGAGAGCCGGGGCUGUUCCAGUACUGAAGCAGAACAGAUAUUCCCGGGUGUACCCAGAGAGAGCCCCAGUGUGUCCCCAUAUGCAUAGGCCCAAUGGUCCUUGACCUCCAACUUCACCCCUUCAUUCCCCCUCCAGCUCUGUGGUGGCUCAGAAAGAUCAGGGACCUGCUGGUGGCUUGGCACAGGACUGGACAGUGACAGACCUGGGCUGCAGCCCAGAGGAGGACCAAACCUCUGGAUCUCAGCUCCAACGAGGUUCCAGCAUAUCGGAGCUGCUGCCAGACAAAAAGGAAGAGGAAGACGGGAGCACUGCAGCCACAGGGGAGGCAGAGAGCAGUGUCAGUGUGGCCAUGCCACCCCAGACCUAGACCACCUAGAGCUGCUGCUGAGAGAAGAGAAGGGACCAAUGGGGAUGAAACCUUCUCCAGCAGCUCACGGUGACCUGGCCAGCCUGGGGUGGACCUAGAGCCCAGGGUUCCUCUCCCAUGGGUGAGGUCUGGAGUCCCAUGUUCAGCAAGGAACUCGUGCUCCUGUCUGCAUGGCCCCCUGGGCUCGAGCUGUCACAAUAAAGCACUGAGAAUCUC